UUACGUCCAUAUCCGGUUGAAACGCCGUUUCUCGCAAGACCACCGAAGUUAAUUAACAUUGGGCCUGGUCAGUACGCAGGUGGGCGACCCCUUGGGAAUAAAAGGGGCUGUAAG
This is a non-coding RNA of Acanthosepion pharaonis, 114 nucleotides long. Lineage: Eukaryota; Metazoa; Mollusca; Cephalopoda; Sepiida; Sepiidae. The record is from the annotation of a GenBank genome assembly.